RNAcentral lists this transfer RNA (71 nucleotides) under Dopasia harti (Hart's glass lizard). RNAcentral describes it as "tRNA-Trp". Lineage: Eukaryota; Metazoa; Chordata; Lepidosauria; Squamata; Anguidae. RNAcentral also lists the same sequence under 1 other name. The record is from RNAcentral.
AGAAAUUUAGGUUAAUACUAAACCAAGGACCUUCAAAGUCCUAAAUAGAGAGUAAGCCCCUCUAACUUCUG